RNAcentral lists this ribosomal RNA (495 nucleotides) under Streptococcus sp. oral taxon C65. RNAcentral describes it as "bacterial SSU rRNA". It matches the Rfam family "Bacterial small subunit ribosomal RNA", at positions 28 to 506 of the family's 1533-position model. The record is from RNAcentral. Lineage: Bacteria; Bacillati; Bacillota; Bacilli; Lactobacillales; Streptococcaceae.
GACGAACGCUGGCGGCGUGCCUAAUACAUGCAAGUAGAACGCUGAAGAGAGGAGCUUGCUCUUCUUGGAUGAGUUGCGAACGGGUGAGUAACGCGUAGGUAACCUGCCUUGUAGCGGGGGAUAACUAUUGGAAACGAUAGCUAAUACCGCAUAACAAUGAAUGACUCAUGUCAUUUAUUUGAAAGGGGCAAUUGCUCCACUACAAGAUGGACCUGCGUUGUAUUAGCUAGUAGGUGAGGUAACGGCUCACCUAGGCGACGAUACAUAGCCGACCUGAGAGGGUGAUCGGCCACACUGGGACUGAGACACGGCCCAGACUCCUACGGGAGGCAGCAGUAGGGAAUCUUCGGCAAUGGGGGCAACCCUGACCGAGCAACGCCGCGUGAGUGAAGAAGGUUUUCGGAUCGUAAAGCUCUGUUGUAAGUCAAGAACGAGUGUGAGAGUGGAAAAUUCACACUGUGACGGUAGCUUACCAGAAAGGACGACUAACUACAA